GAUGAACGCUGGCGGCGUGCCUAAUACAUGCAAGUCGAGCGAACGGACGAGAAGCUUGCUUCUCUGAUGUUAGCGGCGGACGGGUGAGUAACACGUGGAUAACCUACCUAUAAGACUGGGAUAACUUCGGGAAACCGGAGCUAAUACCGGAUGAUAUUUUGAACCGCAUGGUUCAAAAGUGAAAGACGGCCUUGCUGUCACUUAUAGAUGGAUCCGCGCUGCAUUAGCUAGUUGGUAAGGUAACGGCUUACCAAGGCAACGAUGCAUAGCCGACCUGAGAGGGUGAUCGGCCACACUGGAACUGAGACACGGUCCAGACUCCUACGGGAGGCAGCAGUAGGGAAUCUUCCGCAAUGGGCGAAAGCCUGACGGAGCAACGCCGCGUGAGUGAUGAAGGUCUUCCGAUCGUAAAACUCUGUUAUUAGGGAAGAACAUAUAUGUAAGUAACUGUGCACAUCUUGACGGUACCUAAUCAGAAAGCCACGGCUAACUACGUG
RNAcentral lists this ribosomal RNA (497 nucleotides) under uncultured bacterium. RNAcentral's name for it is "partial 16S ribosomal RNA". It matches the Rfam family "Bacterial small subunit ribosomal RNA", at positions 28 to 507 of the family's 1533-position model. The record is from RNAcentral.